CAGAGUUUACAACUCCCAAACCCCUGUGAACUUACCAGUCGUUGCCUCGGCGGUGUCUUGCUUCGGCGAGCCCGCCAGAGGACCCAACAAACUCUUGUUUUUUUUUAGUAUUAUCUGAGUGACAAGUUUAAUAAAUCAAAACUUUCAACAACGGAUCUCUUGGUUCUGGCAUCGAUGAAGAACGCAGCGAAAUGCGAUAAGUAAUGUGAAUUGCAGAAUUCAGUGAAUCAUCGAAUCUUUGAACGCACAUUGCGCCCGCCAGUAUUCUGGCGGGCAUGCCUGUUCGAGCGUCAUUUCAACCCUCAAACCCCCGGGUUUGGUGUUGGAGAUCGGCAUGAGUCCUUCGGGGCGACGCCGUCUCCCAAAUAUAGUGGCGGUCUCGCUGUAGCUUCCUAUGCGUAGUAGCACACCUCGCACUGGAAAGCAGCGCGG
Molecule: ribosomal RNA, 432 nt
Filed under: Cylindrocladiella sp. E6809b
Lineage: Eukaryota; Fungi; Ascomycota; Sordariomycetes; Hypocreales; Nectriaceae
Description: eukaryotic LSU rRNA
Rfam family: 5.8S ribosomal RNA (bases 140-293)
Source: RNAcentral